CGGUUGAUCCUGCCGGGCCCCACUGCUAUCGGGAUAGGACUAAGACAUGCUAGUCAAGCGCUUUCCCCUAAGGGAGGCGCGGCGCACAGCUCAGUACACGUGGCUACCUGCCCUUGGGACGGGAAUAACCCCGGGAACUGGGGUAAUUCCCGAUAGGUGAAGACCUCUGGAAUGAGUCUUCACCCAAAAGGCGCUUACGCUAUGCUCGUAAGCGCCGCCCAAGGAUGGGGCCGCGUCCGAUCAGGUUGUUGGUGAGGUAACGGCUCACCAAGCCUUUUACCGGUGCGGGCCGUGGGAGCGGGAGCCCGGAGAUGGGCACUGAGACAAGGGCCCAGGCCCUACGGGGCGCAGCAGUCGCGAAAACUUUGCAAUACACGAAAGUGUGACAGGGCUAUCCCGAGUGCCAUCCGCUGAGGAAGGCUUUUACCCAGUGCAGAUAGCUGGGGGAAUAAGGAGAGGGCAAGACUGGUGUCAGCCGCCGCGGUAAUACCAGCUUUCCGAGUGGUGUGGAUGUUUAUUGGGCCUAAAGCAUCCGUAGCUGGCCGAACAAGUCCCCUGUUAAAUCCACCGAUUUAAUCGUUGGAGUGCGGGGGAUACUGUUCGGCUAGGGGACGGGAGAGGCCGACGGUAUUUCCGGGGUAGGGGUGAAAUCCUAUAAUCCCGGAAAGACCACCAGUGGCGAAGGCUGUCGGCUAGAACGCGCCCGACGGUGAGGGAUGAAAGCUGGGGGAGCGAACCGGAUUAGAUACCCGGGUAGUCCCAGCUGUAAACGAUGCAGGCUAGGUGUUUGGGCGGCCACGUGCCGCUCUAGUGCCGCAGGGAAGCCGUUAAGCCUGCCGCCUGGGGAGUACGGCCGCAAGGCUGAAACUUAAAGGAAUUGGCGGGGGAGCAC
RNAcentral lists this ribosomal RNA (892 nucleotides) under uncultured archaeon. RNAcentral's name for it is "bacterial SSU rRNA". It matches the Rfam family "Archaeal small subunit ribosomal RNA", at positions 5 to 879 of the family's 1478-position model. The record is from RNAcentral.